RNAcentral lists this long non-coding RNA (3654 nucleotides) under Homo sapiens (human). RNAcentral's name for it is "HSALNT0237982". Lineage: Eukaryota; Metazoa; Chordata; Mammalia; Primates; Hominidae. The record is from RNAcentral.
AGAUGAAGUCUCGCUCUGUCGCCCAGUCUGGAGUGCAGUGGCACGAUCUCGGCUCACUGCAACCUUCACCUCCUGGGUUCAAGCAAUUCUCCUGCCUCAGCCUCCCAAGUAGCUGGGACUACAAAUGCACACCACCACAUCGGCUAAAUUUUUGUUUUUGUAUUUUUAGUAGAGACGGGGUUUCAUCGUGUUAGCUAGGAUGGUCUCGAUCGCCUGACCUCGUGAUCAGCCUGCCUCGGCCUCCCAAAGUGCUGGAAUUACAGGUGUGAGCCACCGUGCCUGGCGAAUAAAAUUCUUAACAAAGAAAAAGAACACUUGAGUUUAGUGCUGGCUCCCAGGCUUCCUAGCUGCAUGGUCUAGGGCAAAUUGAUUCAUCUCUUCUGAGCUUCACUUUCCUCAUCUAAAACGAUAAUGAGAGGAGGGACUUGGAGUUGUGGAGGUAUAAAGAAGGACUCAAAUCCCUCCAGAGAGGGAUAAACAAAAAUAAAACUGGGGGAAAACAGUUUUCAAAAACAGCCACUUCAGGGCUGGAAAUCUACCAAAGGCAGACAACAAAAUGAGAAGCUUUAUUUGAUUUUUAUUUAUUUUUUGUCUUCCAGUUUCUAUUUUUAACUUUGUCGGUAUAUAGUAGGUAUAUAUAUUUAUCGGGUACAUGAGAUAUUUUGGUACAGACAUGCAAUUUGUAAUAAUCACAUCAGGGUAAACAGGAUAUCCAUCACCUUAAGCAUUUAUCCUCUUUUGUGUUACAACAUUUAGUUAUUAGUUUAUUUAUUUAUUUAUUUAUUUGAGACGGAGUCUUGCUCUGUUGCCCAGGCUGGAGUGCAGUGGUGCGAUCUCAGCUCACUUUGCAAGCUCUGCCUCCCAGGUUCACGCCAUUCUCCUGCCUCAGCCUCCCAAGUAGCUGGGACUACAGGUGCCCGCCACCACGCCCAGCUAAUUUUUCGUAUUUUUAGUAGAGAUGGGGUUUCACUAUGUUAGCCAGGAUGGUCUCGAUCUCCUGACCUCACUAUCUGCCCUCCUCGGCCUCCCAAAGUGCUGGGAUUACAGGCGUGAGCCACCGUGCCCGGCCUAGUUUUUUAUUCAUUUAUUUUUCAGAUGGAGUCUUGCUCUGUCAGCAGUGACGUGAUCUUGGCUCACGGCAACCUCCGUCUCCCAGAUUCAAGCAAUUCUCCUGCCUCAGCCUCCAGAGUAGCUGGGAUUACAGGCACCCACCACCACGCCCGGCUAAUUUUUGUAUGUUUAGUGGAGACGGGGUUUCACCAUGUUGGCCAGGCUGGUCUCGAACACCUCACAUCAGGUGAUCCGCCCACCUUGGCCUCCCAAAGUGCUGGGAUUACAGGUGUGAGCCACCGUGCCUGGCCGUUUGUGUUUAUUUUUUAUUUUUUGAGACAGAGUCUCGCUUUGCUGCCCAGACAGGAGUGCCAUGGGGCCAUCUCAGCUCACUGCAACCUCCACCUCCCUGGUUCAAGCGAUUCUCCUGCCUCAGCCUCCUGAGCAGCUGGGAUUACAGGUGCCUGACACCACGCCUAGCUAAUUUUUGUACUUUUAGUAGAGAUGGGAGUUCACCAUGUUGGCCAGGCUGGUCUCGAACACCUGACCUCAGGUGAUCCGCCCACCUUGGCCUCCCAAAGUGCUGGGAUUACAGGUGUGAGCCACAGUGCCUGGCUAUAAUAACCAUUUUAAUAUGUGUGUGUAUGUCAUUAACAUCAUGUCGUAUACCUUAAAUAUAUACAAUUUAUUUUUUAAAAGCUUAUACAAACUAUAUUAUCAGAUAAGGGGUUAAUUUCCACAAUAUAUAAGAGCUCAAGUGAUUCUCCUGCCUCAGCCUCCUGAGUAGCUGGGACUACAGGCGUACACCACCAGCCUGGCUAAUUUUUUUUUUUGUAUUUUUAGUAGAGACGGGGUUUCACCAUGUUGGCCAGGCUGGUAUCAAACUCCUGGGCUCAGGUGAUCCUCCUGCCUCGGCCUCCCAAAGUGCUGGGAUUACAGGCGUGAGCCACCAUGCCCGGCCCUGAGUGUAAGUAUCUUGAAUGUAAAAUCAGGAAACCCUUGACUGCCUUCAAACACAUGGGGAAGGUUCAAGAUCUGGAACUUGUUUUCUGUCUCUUCCAUUUUGUGAAAAGCUACAAAAUCAGGAACCCCUAUUCCCUCACAAGGACAGCAGAGUCUGGCCUGGUCUUGGGCUGGCAUAGGUUCAGCUCAGCCUCCUGCUCUUCUGCACUCAUGACCAAUAGGAAAAAUCUUCAAGAACUGCAUGCCUGUGGGGAGAAAAAGCCCACAGCUGCCUAGAAACACCAGUUGGCAGCUGGGUGCGGUGGCUCACCCCUCUAAUUCCAGCACUUUAGGAGGCCGAGGCGGGCGGAUCACGAGGUCAGGAGUUCGAGACCAGUCUGGCCAACAUGAUGAAACCCCAUCUCUACUAAAAAUACAAAAAUUAGCCGGGUGUGGUGGCAUGUACCUGUAAUCCCAGUUACUCGGGAGGCUGAGGCUGAAUUGCUUGAACCAGGGAGUCGGAGCUUGCAGUGAGCCGAGAUCACACCACUGCACUACAGCCUGGCAACGGAGCAAGACUCUGUCUCAAAAAACAAAAACAAAAACAAAACCACCAGUCGGCAUAGGGCCUUGCCUGCCCCCUCGCCAGCAAGCUCUGUUAGACAUGGGAAAUCCAGGUCACACAUGCCCCUGAAGUGAAUGCAGAGCUAACUUACACUGGGCUCCUACUUGCCAAGUGGAUUCAGCCACUAGACUGGCAGACAACUGGCAAAAACUGAGCAUAGAACCACGUUCCCAGGAAUGCCAUGCACGAGAGAAAGACAGGAAUCUGUACCCGAAGCCGGGGAGGACAGUGGGUGGUCAUCUCUCCCUUGACCCACAUUGGCCAGGGGGUCCCCUCCCACUCGAGGUAGAUGACUAAACCGUGAACCUGCUGUUUUAGGGAUUGCCACGGUCACCCAGGGUGAUUCCAGCCAUCUUCCUCUCAGAUGGACAUGUCUUUUAAAUAUCAUCAUUAUUAAGGGAUGAGCCAUUUCUAAUGCUGAACAAAAUGAAAAGCACAUGGGCAUAGGUACUCAACAGAUGUCCUUGGGAUAAAUGAGUGUUUGCUUCUCUCCAACACCAACUCCAACGACUAACUUGGAGAAGAUUGUCUACGAUCAUUAUAGCAGCUUAACUGUGCGAAUUGGCCACUCACUGGUAUUUUGUUUUGUUUUUUGAGAUGGAGUCUCACUCUGUUGCCCAGGCUGGAGUGCAGUGGUGUGAUCUUGGCUCACUGCAACCUCUGCCUCCCGGGUUCAAGUGAUUCUCCUGCCUCAGCUUCCUGAGUAGCUGGGACUACAGGCAUCUGUCACCAUGCCUGGCUAAUUUUUUAUAUUUUUAGUACAGACAGGGUUUCACCGUAUUAGCCAGGAUGGUGUCGAUCUCCUGACCUCGUGAUCCGCCUGCCUCAGCCUCCCAAAGUGCUGAGAUUACAGGCAUGAGCCACUGCGCCCGGCUGACUCACUGGUAUUUUUUAACCAUAGUAUUUCCUGUGCCUGAGCGCAAAUAAAUAGUAGGCAUCAAACCAAUAAAACCAUGUAGUAACAAUUUACAAAAAUACAUCUUUAUUGUGUUCCAAUGUUGUUGCAUUAUACAGAUACCUAGUUAUAUAAACUUGGU